This 1953-nucleotide long non-coding RNA is filed under the name Hordeum vulgare. Its description in RNAcentral is "long non-coding RNA (HVUL_LNC007725)". The record is from RNAcentral. Lineage: Eukaryota; Viridiplantae; Streptophyta; Magnoliopsida; Poales; Poaceae.
UUAAGACACCUUGACGUACUAUACAUCUAUUUCUUUGCAUAGAACCAAUAAACAAACAUCACUGAGUUCGGAGUAGCAAGGCAAACAAAAUAAAGACUAUGCAAACAAGAAUGAUGUAGUGCCACUUGAAUGGAAGAAUACAUAUUGCUAAUAAUAAUACACUUUACCAGCCCUCUCAUGGAGAAUGAAUUAAUUGCAACUGGUGAAACUUCCUUCCAGAUGAAUGAAUGCAUCGAGGUAAAAUAGCAAACACAUGAUUAUAUCAUCCGUGGAGACAAAAACACCUUAAAGAAAGCAAAAACUCAAAACGAUAAUUUACGACUUUCACCUCAAGACGAUUCGCCUCAAUCACCAGCACAUGAAAGACCAAUGAACUGAAGAUCGAAGGUGCCACACGCAUAGAAGUUUGAUACUUCUAUUUCCAGUAAACUGAAGAAACAAAAUAAUAAAGGAGAAGCUAAUGACAUGUGUGCACAACAAGCAUAUGGAAAAGACCAAUGUAGUACAUGAGGGUAUCUUCAGUUUGCAUAGAUAAUCAGUGAAUAAAAGGGCAUAAUUUAGCUAGCCUGCUAUAUAAUUCAUACUAAUUAAAAAACACAACUCUUAUCACAUCAUAUUCAAUAAUUCCAAAGCUAGAGCAAAUUAGAACAUAUCUUCUCAUUAUAAUUUCAUUUUCUAAUAAGACAUUUUCAUCAUCAUGCCAUGUUUGACAAAGUUCCCCUGCCCAAAGGAUAAAAUGUAGGGGGGGAAUGCAUUUCAGUUGUCAUGCUUUCUUGAAACACUAUUUUUUGUACAUUGUAUAAGGUGGAUUGGCAAGCCCCUUUAUAGAAAUUUAGUGGUGAAUAAAUCUGAGUGUGAGAGUGAGUCUUACUACACUUCAACAACAUUCAAGCUUCACCAGGAGCAUUUGAAACCAAAUUCAUGGUCAGGAAAUAUCAAAUCUCUAGAAAAAAAUACAGUUUUCUAUAAAUAAAAUAAAGAAUUGGGCAUUAACCUAUAUAUGACUUGGGAGGAAUGUGUGUGUUUCACAGAAUUCAAUAUGCCUAGUAUAAACAAAAGAGCAUGUGUAUGCAUGUUAUACGUUGAGCCUGCCCGGGUGUCGGCGACCACAUUUGCAUAUAGCAACGAGCAGGCCUCAUCUAUGAUGCCGUGUGUGAAUAUUUGCCUGCUGCCGCUGACAGUGCCAGUCAAGAGGGCAUGUGGUAGAACAUGAACUAACAUAUUGAUGACCAGAUCACCAAGUACCACCACAAAUACUGUAAUUGCAAAACACAUUGUGGUUUUCAUAAUAUACAGCAGAAAAUUGUAGACACACACUCAUGCCCUUACAGGCGUGACCAUACCAUGUCACACUAUCAAUUCCUCCUCAUCGUUGUCAUCCCAAUCGGUAGGCCUAGAUUCUUUUGCGGGUUCAUUUGUCGGUGACGUGUGGACAUGCGACUCGAGGUCCGGCAUCACCGUAGUGAGAAGACUGGGUGUGAUACAAACAGAGCCUAAAUCGUAUCCUCAAAUAAGCCUAUGAAAUAAUCCAAUCCUUCUACUGCACAAUCUAGUAUAAAUCCCAAGUAACACAUGCAUGCUGAGAGAUGUAUGCUACAUUACUGAAUUGGGCCUGCCCAAGUCACCCUACCUCACUAACUCCUACACAAAGUAUACUUUGCUGAAUUUUGCAUCUACCGAUUAAUGAACCACACUAAAUUAAGCAAACACACGUCAGUACAGAGAACGAAUGCUCAUGCAAAAUCGUUAGUCCACGAGACAGGCGAGCUGCUUAAUGAACAAUUCAGUUUGGAUACAGAAAAAUUGAGUACAACUUAUAGUUCGAAGCAUCCGUACAACUGAUAUGGCCGUUCCUCUGUGUGCCCACGGUGCGGCAGCGUGGAGGCGCGCACGUACGAUAUCGUUCGCCAGCGUCCGCCUUGCGUAUGUCCAUGUCCCCAGCGGGGGCGGCAG